Long non-coding RNA from Malania oleifera, 1273 nucleotides. RefSeq lists it as uncharacterized. Lineage: Eukaryota; Viridiplantae; Streptophyta; Magnoliopsida; Santalales; Ximeniaceae. The record is from RefSeq and is a predicted model, not a curated record. The transcript is spliced from 3 exons.
GAAAAGCGCUCACCCCUCACCUCCAACACCAACUUCAUCCGCCCACUGCCGCACGAACCCACCUGUUUACAGAAAAAAGAAACGGUGAUGAUGACGAAUUUGAAGGGAUGCUCUAAGCUGCCAGCUGUAGGGAUUUUUUAUUUUCUGAAUUCGAAAAUCUGAAUUUGAUUUACUCUCUCUCUCUCUGAAUCCAUCUCAUUCUGAUUCACAAAAUAAAAGAUCCCUUUAGCAGACGGUUUAGUUCGCAACUAAAGGCCUCGUCUUGAUUUCUUCUCUUGAUCUUCUUCAUCGCUCCUAACCACAAUAUCUGGCACCUCGAAGGGAAGAGAAAACGUUAUCGAGACAAUCUGUUGAUCUUAAUCGACAAACAAAGCCACGAACGCAACCCACUCGAUCUCUUCCUCGCUCACGAUUCCAAAAGUUUACCAAUAUUUGAGAUUGCAAACAUACUAAUGCAUCGUAAUCUUCUGAUGGAAAUUAUGCAAAAGCAGUCGCAGACUCGCAUUGAAAUAUGUACUCUUGGAUGGUUGGCUUCUGAAGGAAUAUGAAAUUGUGAAAUCCGUUGAAACAGGGGAGCAUUUGAUGCUUCUUCUUAUUGGCAUAAAAUAUAUUAAAUUUUGUUUAAAUUGAUUCAAAUCUAAAUUUAAAGUUUAAAAUUUAUAUUUGAAAACGCAACGUCAGAAUUAAAUUUUCGAGGAACAGAUCAACAAAUUUACUGGGAAAUUCUAGUGGGUGCUUGGACGAAGCCUUGGAAUUUGGGAACAAUCCAGUUCAUACAUCCUAGGCAAGUUCUCACUCAAUACUCAUGUAUCCAUGUUUUCAUCAUUAUUCGCUCUGUUUUUUUUUUUUUUUUUUUGUAUUUUUCAUCAAAGCUAUUUUUUUUUUUUUGUUUCAUCUUCUGUGAAUUUUUUACUCAUUAGAUUAUUGUUAUUUUGAUUUGUUUCUUUGUAACUUCCUGAGUAUCUGUCUUAUAUUGGAUCAUGCAGCAAUAUGUGGGAUCUGGGUGUUGUGGCAGGCACUGAUCAAUAUCAAAAGGUUAAUGAGACUAGCAAGUAGUUUAUGUUUAUUGAUUUAAGAAAUAUACUUGGAUGAUCUUCAACAAAAUUUAAUAUAAUUUUAUAUUAUAUUUUAUGUAAAUUCAAUACAACUUCAAAUUUAAGAUCUCUCCAAACAUUUGGCGAUUGUUUUGUGAAAGGUUUAGAACCCAUCAAUAACAAGAUGUUAUAUUAAUGUUCGGGAUCAAUAAAAGGUUGUGCAGUUUGCAUUAUUGAAA